UUUUAUGGAGAGUUUGAUCCUGGCUCAGGAUGAACGCUGGGGGCAUGCUUAACACAUGCAAGUCGAACGGGUUUGACGGUGGUUGUUUCAAAUCUUCGAUUUGAAUAACCCCCUUCUCAUCAGUGGCGGACGGGUGCGUAACGCGUAAGAACCUACCCUUAGGUGGAAGAUAACCAUUGGAAACGGUGGCUAAUACUCCAUACGCUGAGGAGUGAAAGGGAAAGACAACCUUUCCCGCCUAGGGAUGGGCUUGCGUCUGAUUAGCUUGUUGGUGGGGUAAAGGCCCACCAAGGCCACGAUCAGUAGCUGGUCUGAGAGGAUGAUCAGCCACACUGGGACUGAGACACGGCCCAGACUCCUACGGGAGGCAGCAGUGAGGAAUUUUCCGCAAUGGGCGAAAGCCUGACGGAGCAAUGCCGCGUGGAGGAAGACAGCCUAUGGGUCGUAAACUCCUUUUCUUAGAGAAGAAGCUCUGACGGUAUCUAAGGAAUAAGCAUCGGCUAACUCCGUGCCAGCAGCCGCGGUAAUACGGGGGAUGCAAGCGUUAUCCGGAAUGAUUGGGCGUAAAGGGUCCGUAGGUGGUCGAUAAAGUCUACCGUUCAAUACCAGGGCUUAACCCUGGGGCAGCGGUGGAAACUCAUCGGCUUGAGUACGGUAGAGGCAGAGGGAAUUCCCGGCGUAGCGGUGAAAUGCGUAGAUUUCGGGAAGAACACCAAUGGCGAAGGCACUCUGCUGGGCCGAAACUGACACUGAGGGACGAGAGCUAGGGGAGCGAAUGGGAUUAGAUACCCCAGUAGUCCUAGCCGUAAACUCUGGACACUAGGUGCUGGCCGGCUCACCCCGGUCAGUGCCGUAGCUAACGCGUGAAGUGUCCCGCCUGGGGAGUAUGCUCGCAAGAGUGAAACUCAAAGGAAUUGACGGGGGCCCGCACAAGCGGUGGAGCAUGUGGUUUAAUUCGAUGCAACGCGAAGAACCUUACCAGGGCUUGACAUGCCCACGAGCCGUAACCGUGGCCCUCUCUUGAAAGAUUGAGGGGCCCCCUGUGUCCCCCUAGGGGGGAAAGGUGGCAGGGUGGUAUGCACAGGUGGUGCAUGGCUGUCGUCAGCUCGUGUCGUGAGACGUCGGGUUCAGUCCCGUAACGAGCGCAACCCUUGUCAUACAGUUGUUUCAAAUCGAAACCAAACUGUUGAGACUGCCGGUGACAAGCCGGAGGAAGGUGAGGAUGACGUCAAGUCAGCAUGCCCCUUACGCCCUGGGCGACUCACGUGCUACAAUGGCCGGGACAAAGAGUUGCUACCCCGCGAGGGGACGCUAACCUCAUAAACCCGGUCUCAGUUCGGAUUGCAGGCUGCAACUCGCCUGCAUGAAGGCGGAAUCGCUAGUAAUCGCCGGUCAGCCACACGGCGGUGAAUACGUUCCCGGGCCUUGUACACACCGCCCGUCACAUCCCGGAAUUCAGCUGGGCCCCAAGUCAUGGUGAACAGAAGCUAUGCCCAAGGCCAAGCCCGAGACCGGGAUGAAGUCGUAACAAGGUAGCCGUUCUGGAAGGAGCGGCUGGAUCACCUCCUUA
RNAcentral lists this ribosomal RNA (1570 nucleotides) under Xylochloris irregularis. Its description in RNAcentral is "SSU rRNA". It matches the Rfam family "Bacterial small subunit ribosomal RNA". The record is from RNAcentral. Lineage: Eukaryota; Viridiplantae; Chlorophyta; Trebouxiophyceae.